CCCAGACUCCUACGGGAGGCAGCAGUGGGGAAUAUUGCACAAUGGGCGAAAGCCUGAUGCAGCGACGCCGCGUGAAGGAUGAAGUAUUUCGGUAUGUAAACUUCUAUCAGCAGGGAAGAAAAUGACGGUACCUGAGUAAGAAGCCCCGGCCAACUACGUGCCAGCAGCCGCGGUAAUACGUAGGGGGCAAGCGUUAUCCGGAUUUACUGGGUGUAAGGGAGCGUAGACGGCAGUGCAAGUCUGGAGUGAAAGGCGGGGGCUCAACCCCCGGACUGCUCUGGAAACUGUACGGCUGGAGUGCAGGAGAGGUAAGUGGAAUUCCUAGUGUAGCGGUGAAAUGCGUAGAUAUUAGGAGGAACACCAGUGGCGAAGGCGGCUUACUGGACUGUAACUGACGUUGAGGCUCGAAAGCGUGGGGAGCAAACAGGAUUAGAUACCCUUGUA
This 444-nucleotide ribosomal RNA is filed under the name uncultured bacterium. Its description in RNAcentral is "bacterial SSU rRNA". It matches the Rfam family "Bacterial small subunit ribosomal RNA", at positions 330 to 792 of the family's 1533-position model. The record is from RNAcentral.